UGGUAAUUAGUUUAAAACAAAAACAAAUGAUUUCGACUCAUUAAAUUAUGAUAUAACAUAAUUACCAA
This 68-nucleotide transfer RNA is filed under the name Anomalurus beecrofti (Beecroft's scaly-tailed squirrel). Its description in RNAcentral is "tRNA-Arg". It matches the Rfam family "tRNA". From Rfam's summary of the family: Transfer RNA (tRNA) molecules are approximately 80 nucleotides in length. Their secondary structure includes four short double-helical elements and three loops (D, anti-codon, and T loops). Further hydrogen bonds mediate the characteristic L-shaped molecular structure. tRNAs have two regions of fundamental functional importance: the anti-codon, which is responsible for specific mRNA codon recognition, and the 3' end, to which the tRNAs corresponding amino acid is attached (by aminoacyl-tRNA synthetases). tRNAs cope with the degeneracy of the genetic code in two manners: having more than one tRNA (with a specific anti-codon) for a particular amino acid; and 'wobble' base-pairing, i.e. permitting non-standard base-pairing at the 3rd anti-codon position. The record is from RNAcentral. Lineage: Eukaryota; Metazoa; Chordata; Mammalia; Rodentia; Anomaluridae.